AAUAGUAUGCCUGAUUAAAGGAUUAUUCUGAUGGAGUAAAAUAUGUAUUUUUUAAAAUGCUACUAUUG
This 68-nucleotide transfer RNA is filed under the name Ceratophysella communis. Its description in RNAcentral is "tRNA-Ile". Lineage: Eukaryota; Metazoa; Arthropoda; Collembola; Poduromorpha; Hypogastruridae. The record is from RNAcentral.